RNAcentral lists this unclassified non-coding RNA (303 nucleotides) under Hevea brasiliensis (rubber tree). The record is from RNAcentral. Lineage: Eukaryota; Viridiplantae; Streptophyta; Magnoliopsida; Malpighiales; Euphorbiaceae.
GCAGUUUAGGACAAUCAUAGUUUGUCCUCUUGUGUGUGUAUGUAUUAUUUCUAUAUGUUGCACUGUGUAAUAUGACAUCUAUGGUUUGAUUUUGAUCAAUGCUAUUUGCUGUAGGAGUAGCAUGUGUUAUUAGUUGCAUUUUGCCUAAUUUUUGUCACUCUUCCGCUAGGAAGUGUUACAAGCCAUCUUUUGGUGGUCUAUAUGUUGCGUUGAGAGAAUGAGAGAGGGAAAAGAUGCUAUUAUACUGUUUUUGUUCUUUUUGUUAGCUUUCUAAUGUCCUAAUUUGCGAAUCAUUUGCAUUUG